GAUGAACGCUAGCUACAGGCUUAACACAUGCAAGUCGCGGGGCAGCAUGGGGGUUGCUUGCAAUCCCCGAUGGCGACCGGCGCACGGGUGAGUAACGCGUAUUCAACCUGCCCUUCACCACGGGAUAACCCGGCGAAAGUCGGACUAAUACCGUAUGUUGUCCAUUGACGGCAUCCGAUUUGGACGAAAGGCUUGGCGGUGAGGGAUGGGGAUGCGUCCGAUUAGCCAGACGGCGGGGUAACGGCCCACCGUGGCUACGAUCGGUAGGGGUUCUGAGAGGAAGGUCCCCCACACUGGAACUGAGACACGGUCCAGACUCCUACGGGAGGCAGCAGUGAGGAAUAUUGGUCAAUGGGCGUAAGCCUGAACCAGCCAAGUAGCGUGCAGGAUGACGGCCCUAUGGGUUGUAAACUGCUUUUAUGCGGGGAUAAAGUGGCCCACGCGUGGGCUUUUGCAGGUACCGCAUGAAUAAGGACCGGCUAAUUCCGUG
This 490-nucleotide ribosomal RNA is filed under the name uncultured bacterium. RNAcentral describes it as "partial 16S ribosomal RNA". It matches the Rfam family "Bacterial small subunit ribosomal RNA", at positions 28 to 507 of the family's 1533-position model. The record is from RNAcentral.